UUGUAUGCUAUGGUUUGUACUGGAAUUGCUAUACCUAAUCUCUUAUUUCUGUCAUUGUAGGUAACAUUUCAUUUACAAAGAAAGGGAAUGCAGAAAGGUCAGCAAGUACUGAAAGAGGCAACGCUACAGCUACAGAAGGGCCCAAAAAUGACCCUUACACAGGUGAAUGUGUUCGAAGUGAGACAAAAUUGCAGACCACAGAAAUGUCAACCAACACACUUACACAAGAAAUGGCAGAGAAGUCAACAACAACAAAUGCCCAAAUUAUUAGGAAAGCAGGACGGGAAACAAUUUUAGGAGAUAGAGGUACCUUAAAA
Molecule: long non-coding RNA, 317 nt
Organism: Engraulis encrasicolus (European anchovy)
Lineage: Eukaryota; Metazoa; Chordata; Actinopteri; Clupeiformes; Engraulidae
Exons: 6
Source: RefSeq, a predicted model, not a curated record